Molecule: ribosomal RNA, 363 nt
Filed under: Xanthomonas boreopolis
Lineage: Bacteria; Pseudomonadati; Pseudomonadota; Gammaproteobacteria; Lysobacterales; Lysobacteraceae
Description: bacterial SSU rRNA
Rfam family: Bacterial small subunit ribosomal RNA
Source: RNAcentral
ACGGGUGAGGAAUGCAUCGGAAUCUACUCUGUCGUGGGGGAUAACGUAGGGAAACUUACGCUAAUACCGCAUACGACCUACGGGUGAAAGCAGGGGACCUUCGGGCCUUGCGCGAUUGAAUGAGCCGAUGCCCGAUUAGCUAGUUGGCGGGGUAAGAGCCCACCAAGGCGACGAUCGGUAGCUGGUCUGAGAGGAUGAUCAGCCACACUGGAACNUGAGACACGGUCCAGACUCCUACGGGAGGCAGCAGUGGGGAAUAUUGGACAAUGGGCGCAAGCCUGAUCCAGCCAUACCGCGUGGGUGAAGAAGGCCUUCGGGUUGUAAAGCCCUUUUGUUGGGAAAGAAAAGCAGCCGGUUAAUACC